UACGUAGGGUGCGAGCGUUGUCCGGAAUUAUUGGGCGUAAAGGGCUCGUAGGCGGUUUGUCGCGUCGGGAGUGAAAUCAUCUGGCUUAACUGGGUGCUUGCUUUCGAUACGGGCAGACUAGAGGUAUGCAGGGGAGAACGGAAUUCCUGGUGUAGCGGUGAAAUGCGCAGAUAUCAGGAGGAACACCGGUGGCGUAGGCGGUUCUCUGGGCAUGAUCUGACGCUGAGGAGCGAAAGUGUGGGGAGCGAACAGG
Molecule: ribosomal RNA, 253 nt
Filed under: uncultured bacterium
Lineage: Bacteria
Description: partial 16S ribosomal RNA
Rfam family: Bacterial small subunit ribosomal RNA
Source: RNAcentral